AGGACGAACGCUGGCGGCGUGCUUAACACAUGCAAGUCGAACGGAAAGGCCCGCUUGCGGGUACUCGAGUGGCGAACGGGUGAGUAACACGUGGGCAACCUGCCCUCAGCUCUGGGAUAACUCCGGGAAACCGGUGCUAAUACUGGAUAUCGACUUCUGCCUCGCAUGGGGUGUUGUUGAAAGUUUUCGGCUGGGGAUGGGCCCGCGGCCUAUCAGUCUUGUUGGUGGGGUGAUGGCCUACCAAGGCGACGACGGGUA
Molecule: ribosomal RNA, 258 nt
Filed under: uncultured bacterium
Lineage: Bacteria
Description: partial small subunit ribosomal RNA
Rfam family: Bacterial small subunit ribosomal RNA
Source: RNAcentral